This 82-nucleotide transfer RNA is filed under the name Bacillota bacterium. Its description in RNAcentral is "Firmicutes bacterium (anaerobic digester metagenome) tRNA-Leu". It matches the Rfam family "tRNA". Rfam says of the family: Transfer RNA (tRNA) molecules are approximately 80 nucleotides in length. RNAcentral also lists the same sequence under 1 other name. The record is from RNAcentral. Lineage: Bacteria; Bacillati; Bacillota.
GCGAGAGUGGCGGAAUGGCAGACGCGCUAGACUUAGGAUCUAGUGGGCAACCGUGCGGGUUCAAGUCCCGCCUCUCGCACCA